UGUGUCACUGCCAAGCUCCCAUUCCUAGUUCAUCGUUCUGUUCACCUGUUACUCAAAGCCAUCUCAACAGUCUCUUCACAGAGUUCUUUAAAGUCAAGUGCUCCGAAGAGGCUGCGUCCACUAGAGAACCUGACUGGUGAAAUCCUCGGGACUGUGGAGAGAUGUAAUACAGCAAAUCCAGAGCUGCAGAGAUAUGUCACCCUCUACUGGCCUCCACAGGCACCGGGCAUGCACGCGCACAGGAGUGAAGAGGAGCCUCACCAUGUGACUCCAGCUGUUCUGGAAUUCCCUCUGUAGACAGGCUGGCCUCACACCAAGUCCCUUCCUGUUAUGUUAUCUGGAUUUCCAAGCAUAUCCCCCUCCUGCUCCUCCCUUUUUUCUGAGACAGUCAUGCUGGCUUGGAAUUCACUGAGGAGCAGGCCAGUCUUCAAUAUGUAACCUUUUCAAGUGGGACCUCGUGAAAUUAAGAAGCGUCUGACCACACAGUUAAAUGAAGAGACAAGCCACAGAAUGGAAAGGAAUAUUUGCUAAGUAGUCAUCUUUCGCAGGUCUGAUAUCUAGAACACAGAGGGAGGACUGGAGAGGUCAGUGGUGAGGAGAACUUGCUCCCCCAGCACCCUCAUCCUGUGGCUCAUAACCACCCGUGAAUCCCAGUUCCAGGGAAUCUGACGUCUCUGGUCUCCACAGGCACCCACACUCGUGUGCAGGGACACAGACACGGGAACACACACACACACACAGAC
This is a long non-coding RNA of Mesocricetus auratus (golden hamster), 743 nucleotides long. RefSeq lists it as uncharacterized. The transcript has 3 exons. Lineage: Eukaryota; Metazoa; Chordata; Mammalia; Rodentia; Cricetidae. The record is from RefSeq and is a predicted model, not a curated record.